This 354-nucleotide ribosomal RNA is filed under the name Thymallus thymallus (grayling). RNAcentral describes it as "partial 12S ribosomal RNA". It matches the Rfam family "Bacterial small subunit ribosomal RNA", at positions 801 to 1360 of the family's 1533-position model. Lineage: Eukaryota; Metazoa; Chordata; Actinopteri; Salmoniformes; Salmonidae. The record is from RNAcentral.
AAACUUUGAUGAAAAUAUACAACUGACAUCCGCCAGGGAACUACAAGCGCCAGCUUAAAACCCAAAGGACUUGGCGGUGCCUCAGACCCACCUAGAGGAGCCUGUUCUAGAACCGAUAACCCCCGUUCAACCUCACCACCUCUUGUUUUCCCCGCCUAUAUACCACCGUCGUCAGCUUACCCUGUGAAGGUUAUAUAGUAAGCAAAAUGGGUAUAACCCAAAACGUCAGGUCGAGGUGUAGCGCAUGGGGUGGGAAGAAAUGGGCUACAUUCUCUAAAAUAGAGCAUUACGAACCACGCUGUGAAACCAGCGUUCGAAGGUGGAUUUAGCAGUAAACAGAAAGCAGAGAGUUCU